RNAcentral lists this ribosomal RNA (466 nucleotides) under uncultured Planctomyces sp. RNAcentral describes it as "bacterial SSU rRNA". It matches the Rfam family "Bacterial small subunit ribosomal RNA", at positions 336 to 797 of the family's 1533-position model. Lineage: Bacteria; Pseudomonadati; Planctomycetota; Planctomycetia; Planctomycetales; Planctomycetaceae. The record is from RNAcentral.
UUCCUACGGGGGGCUGCAGUCGAGAAUCUUCGGCAAUGGGCGCAAGCCUGACCGAGCGACGCCGCGUGUGGGAUGAAGGCCCUUGGGUUGUAAACCACUGUCAGAGGGGAUGAAAUGCCAGCCAGCAAUCUGGUUGGUUUGACAUAGCCUCAGAGGAAGCACGGGCUAAGUUCGUGCCAGCAGCCGCGGUAAUACGAACUGUGCAAACGUUAUUCGGAAUCACUGGGCUUACAGGGUGCGUAGGCGGCUUGCUAAGUAGGGUGUGAAAUCCCCCGGCUUAACCGGGGAACUGCGCCCUAAACUGGCGAGCUGGAGUGAGACAGGGGUGUGUGGAACUUCCGGUGGAGCGGUGAAAUGUGUUGAUAUCGGAAGGAACGCCGGUGGCGAAAGCGACACACUGGGUCUUGUCUGACGCUGAGGCACGAAAGCCAGGGGAGCGAACGGGAUUAGAUACCCGGGUAGUCGU